RNAcentral lists this ribosomal RNA (253 nucleotides) under uncultured bacterium. RNAcentral describes it as "partial 16S ribosomal RNA". It matches the Rfam family "Bacterial small subunit ribosomal RNA", at positions 524 to 776 of the family's 1533-position model. The record is from RNAcentral.
UACGAAGGGGACUAGCGUUGUUCGGAAUUACUGGGCUUAAAGAGUUCGUAGGCGGCAUGAAAAGCAGGGUGUGAAAGCCCUCGGCUCAACCGAGGAAUUGCGCUCUGAACUGUCGUGCUUGAGGAACCUAGAGGUGAGCAGAACAGAUGGUGGAGCGGUGAAAUGCGUUGAUAUCAUCUGGAAUACCGGAGGCGAAGGCGGCUCACUGGGGGUUUUCUGACGCUGAGGAACGAAAGCCAGGGUAGCGAACGGG